RNAcentral lists this unclassified non-coding RNA (339 nucleotides) under soil metagenome. RNAcentral describes it as "partial contains 5.8S ribosomal RNA, internal transcribed spacer 2, and large subunit ribosomal RNA". The stretch from base 1 to 120 matches the Rfam family "5.8S ribosomal RNA", at positions 35 to 154 of the family's 154-position model. The record is from RNAcentral.
GAUGAAGAACGCAGCAAAAUGCGAUAAGUAGUGUGAAUUGCAGAAUUCAGUGAAUCAUCGAAUCUUUGAACGCACAUUGCGCCCCUCGGUAUUCCGUGGGGCAUGCCUGUUCGAGCGUCAUUUAACCCCUCAAGCCUAGCUUGGUAUUGGGUGCUUGUCCCGCCUCUCGCGCGGCGACUCACCUCAAAGUCAUUGGCAGCCCGCAUCUCGCCGGCCGUGAGCGCAGCACAGACGCGCUCUUGGCAACGACGGAUCGGCUCUCCAAAAGCUUAUUUCAACCACUGACCUCGGAUCAGGUAGGGAUACCCGCUGAACUUAAGCAUAUCAAUAAGCGGAGGA